RNAcentral lists this ribosomal RNA (462 nucleotides) under uncultured bacterium. RNAcentral's name for it is "partial 16S ribosomal RNA". It matches the Rfam family "Bacterial small subunit ribosomal RNA", at positions 28 to 507 of the family's 1533-position model. The record is from RNAcentral.
GACGAACGCUGGCGGCGUGCUUAACACAUGCAAGUCGAACGGAAAGGCCCUUCGGGGUACUCGAGUGGCGAACGGGUGAGUAACACGUGGGUGAUCUGCCCUGCACUUUGGGAUAAGCCUGGGAAACUGGGUCUAAUACCGAAUAGGACCACGCGCUUCAUGGUGUGUGGUGGAAAGCUUUUGCGGUGUGGGAUGGGCCCGCGGCCUAUCAGCUUGUUGGUGGGGUAAUGGCCUACCAAGGCGACGACGGGUAGCCGGCCUGAGAGGGUGACCGGCCACACUGGGACUGAGAUACGGACCAGACUCCUACGGGAGGCAGCAGUGGGGAAUAUUGCACAAUGGGCGCAAGCCUGAUGCAGCGACGCCGCGUGAGGGAUGACGGCCUUCGGGUUGUAAACCCCUUUCAAUAGGGACGAAGCGCAAGUGACGGUACCUAUAGAAGAAGCACCGGCCAACUACGUG